UAUGGCCGGCGUCAGCAAGGGUAAAAAAAAGGUUGGGCUAAGUGCACGCAACGAGCGCAACCCUUGUGCGCUAGUUGCCAGCACGUCGGGAGGGAACUGUAGAGAGACCGCCGGGGACAAACCGGAGGAAGGUGGGGAUGACGCCAAGGCAGCCUGGCCCUUGUGGCCAGGGCUACACCCCCGCCACAAUGGGGGGCACAAAGGGCAGGCAAACCGGGAGGGAAAGCCAAUCCCCCAAAGCCGCUCACUAGGCCGGAUCUGGAUUUUUCCCCACCCCGGGGGGAAGGAACCCCUCUAUAUCUUUCGGGAUAGGGGUGAGAAGCGGGGACACCUCCAAGGAGGGGGGGAUG
This 350-nucleotide ribosomal RNA is filed under the name uncultured vent bacterium. RNAcentral describes it as "partial 16S ribosomal RNA". It matches the Rfam family "Bacterial small subunit ribosomal RNA", at positions 1044 to 1365 of the family's 1533-position model. The record is from RNAcentral.